CGUGUAGGCGGGUCUUUAAGUCAGGGGUGAAAUGCCGAGGCUCAACCUUGGAACUGCCUUUGAUACUGGGGAUCUUGAGUCCGGGAGAGGUGAGUGGAACUGCGAGUGUAGAGGUGAAAUUCGUAGAUAUUCGCAAGAACACCAGUGGCGAAGGCGGCUCACUGGCCCGGAACUGACGCUGAGACGCGAAAGCGUGGGGAGCAAACAGGAUUAGAUACCCUGGUAGUCCACGCUGUAAACGAUGGAUGCUAGCCGUUGGGGAGCUUGCUCUUCAGUGGCGCAGCCAACGCUUUAAGCAUCCCGCCUGGGGAGUACGGUCGCAAGAUUAAA
Molecule: ribosomal RNA, 330 nt
Filed under: uncultured bacterium
Lineage: Bacteria
Description: bacterial SSU rRNA
Rfam family: Bacterial small subunit ribosomal RNA
Source: RNAcentral